This 228-nucleotide ribosomal RNA is filed under the name uncultured bacterium. RNAcentral describes it as "partial 16S ribosomal RNA". It matches the Rfam family "Bacterial small subunit ribosomal RNA", at positions 104 to 334 of the family's 1533-position model. The record is from RNAcentral.
CGGGGUGAGUAAUGUCUGGGAAACUGCCUGAUGAGGGGGAUAACUACUGGAAACGGUAGCUAAUACCGCAUAACGUCUUCGGACCAAAGUGGGGGACCUUCGGGCCUCACGCCAUCGGAUGUGCCCAGAUGGGAUUAGCUAGUAGGUGGGGUAAUGGCUCACCUAGGCGACGAUCCCUAGCUGGUCUGAGAGGAUGACCAGCCACACUGGAACUGAGACACGGUCCAG